AGAGACAGCAGUCGCCACGGGAAUACGUAGGUGGCAAGCGUUGUCCGGAAUUAUUGGGCGUAAAGGGAGCGCAGGCGGUUUAGUAAGUCUGAAGUUAAAGGCAUUGGCUCAACCAAUGUAUGCUUUGGAAACUGUUAGACUUGAGUGCAGAAGGGGAGAGUGGAAUUCCAUGUGUAGCGGUGAAAUGCGUAGAUAUAUGGAGGAACACCGGUGGCGAAAGCGGCUCUCUGGUCUGUCACUGACGCUGAGGCUCGAAAGCGUGGGUAGCGAACAGGAUUAGAUACCCCCGUAGUCCCUGUCUCUUAUACA
Molecule: ribosomal RNA, 309 nt
Filed under: uncultured bacterium
Lineage: Bacteria
Description: partial 16S ribosomal RNA
Rfam family: Bacterial small subunit ribosomal RNA
Source: RNAcentral